RNAcentral lists this ribosomal RNA (265 nucleotides) under uncultured bacterium. RNAcentral's name for it is "partial 16S ribosomal RNA". It matches the Rfam family "Bacterial small subunit ribosomal RNA", at positions 77 to 339 of the family's 1533-position model. The record is from RNAcentral.
AGCUUGCUGGACGGAAAUAGAGGCGAACGGGUGAGUAAUACGUAAGCAACCUGCCCACGAAGACCGGGAUAAUCCCUGGAAACGGGGACUAAGACCGGAUAGGUACACAGACCGCAUGAUCUGUGUAUUAAAGGUGAGAGACACUGGUGGAUGGGCUUACGGUGCAUUAGCUGGAUGGUGAGGUAACGGCCCACCAUGGCGAUGAUGCAUAGCCGGGCUGAGAGGCUGAACGGCCACAUUGGGACUGAGACACGGCCCAGACUCC